GGCGAACGCUGGCGGCGUGCCUAAUACAUGCAAGUAGAACGCUGAAGGGGGAGCUUGCUUCUCCGGAUGAGUUGCGAACGGGUGAGUAACGCGUAGGUAACCUGCCUGGUAGCGGGGGAUAACUAUUGGAAACGAUAGCUAAUACCGCAUAAUAGUAGAUGUUGCAUGACAUUUGCUUAAAAGGUGCAAUUGCACCACUACCAGAUGGACCUGCGUUGUAUUAGCUAGUUGGUGGGGUAACGGCUCACCAAGGCGACGAUACAUAGCCGACCUGAGAGGGUGAUCGGCCACACUGGGACUGAGACACGGCCCAGACUCCUACGGGAGGCAGCAGUAGGGAAUCUUCGGCAAUGGACGGAAGUCUGACCGAGCAACGCCGCGUGAGUGAAGAAGGUUUUCGGAUCGUAAAGCUCUGUUGUAAGAGAAGAACGAGUGUGAGAGUGGAAAGUUCACACUGUGACGGUAUCUUACCAGAAAGGGACGGCUAACUACGUG
Molecule: ribosomal RNA, 495 nt
Filed under: uncultured bacterium
Lineage: Bacteria
Description: partial 16S ribosomal RNA
Rfam family: Bacterial small subunit ribosomal RNA
Source: RNAcentral